Non-coding RNA from Dipodomys ordii (Ord's kangaroo rat), 73 nucleotides. The record is from Rfam. Lineage: Eukaryota; Metazoa; Chordata; Mammalia; Rodentia; Heteromyidae.
GGGAAGGUAGCUUAGUGGUAGAGUGCUUGCCUUGCAGGCAUGAGGCCCUGGGUUCAAUUCCUCAGCACCACCU